GGGGGUGGGGGGAGGGCGGUAGCUCAGUGGUAAGAGCAUCUGCUUAGCACGCAGAAGGUUCUAGGUUUAAUCCCCAGCACCUCCA
Molecule: non-coding RNA, 85 nt
Organism: Rhineura floridana
Lineage: Eukaryota; Metazoa; Chordata; Lepidosauria; Squamata; Rhineuridae
Source: the annotation of a RefSeq genome assembly